CUCUUGUAAUGGGGAUGACUUUGGGAGCGGAUCAGAACCUUGUGUUAUUGAUGACGACUGUCUUCUUCUUGAGUCACCUUGCUGCCCUAAAGACCUGAGGUUCAACAAUGUCACCAAGUGCUGUUAUGCCCCUGUGACCAGCAACUCUCCAAGAAUCUUCUUGACUAAUAAAGGAUUAUUCAGCCUCUUUGUGAUUUGGAAUUUACUAUGGUGGAUUACUGAAGAAUAGUAACAAUUAUAUUGGAAACGAAUAGGAAUAGUGUACUGAAAAAACAGAAGACUGGAUGGAUGUCAAACCAAAAGAAAUAUGUCUUAUAUACCAAUGCUUUUCAAUAUUUUAAAACAAAAAAACUGGUGUUAGCCUACAUGCCAUAUCUAAAUGUGU
Long non-coding RNA from Hyla sarda, 385 nucleotides. RefSeq lists it as uncharacterized. The record is from RefSeq and is a predicted model, not a curated record. The transcript is spliced from 3 exons. NCBI's taxonomy places the organism in Eukaryota, Metazoa, Chordata, Amphibia, Anura, Hylidae.